Molecule: non-coding RNA, 7750 nt
Organism: Phalacrocorax carbo (great cormorant)
Lineage: Eukaryota; Metazoa; Chordata; Aves; Suliformes; Phalacrocoracidae
Source: RefSeq, a predicted model, not a curated record
GGGCUCGUCGGGGAAGUCGGGAGCGCAAGUUGUCUCACCAGGUCCUCGAAGCUGCGGCGGUGCUCCUUGCCCUGCCAGUCCAGGCGGCGGGGGAUCAGCUGCGGGAGAGAGACGGGGGAGGAGGGACGGGAGGGAGGCGGCCGUCAGACCCCGGCCGGCCCCGCCGCCGAGCGACCCCUCCCCGGGCGGGCGAGGGGAGCCCCCCGCCGGUGCCAGCCCGCCCCGGGGAGGAGCCCCUCCGCCGCUGCGGGGGCACCCGCGGCGGAGCCCCGGGAGGACCCGAUGGGCCGGGUUAGACGGAGCAGGGCAAACCCCCGGCAUCGCCGCGCCGCGUCCCCCCCCAACCCUCCCCGCCGCCGUCCCCAGGGCUUCCCCGUGUCCCCGUCCCCGUCCCGCCGGGGCAGGCGCCUUACCUGGUGCUCCUCCAGCUCCUCCACCAGUACCUGGGGAGAGACGGACGGACGGACAGACAAAGAACGGUCCGGACUGCAGGAACCGGGCGAUCAGGAUGCGGUCCUUCCCGCUGGCAGCCUCUUCUCAGGACGCUUCAAGGUACUCGACCAGGCGCCAGUAGCUCUCUGGAGGAGUCAGGCAGAUUCAUCGAUCAGCUCGUCACUAGCAGAGAUGUGAGGUGCCGCCUUACCAAGCUGCAAACUCCAGAUCUAGUGGCUUUCCAACAGUAACGACACUCCCACCUUCCCAGCGUUACACCGCAGCCUCUGAAGCUGCAGCACGGGUGCUUCCUGUGAGGGCUACAGUGUAAAACUGCAGUCCUCAAAUAAAUUACCAGCUAGAAAAAGAGUAUUGCUGAUGUUCACUAUCUUUAGAGGUAAUCUUUCUCCCACCUGUCUUCAGAACUGUGAAUCGCCAGCUCAUCUUUUUAUGUGUGACGGGGAUGCAAAGAAAAGAACACGUGAUGUUUUAUCAUACACCUGAAAGUGCACAUCAGUCCUUCUGAGCUAAAUGGAAUUCUGUGUCGAGAGAAAACACAGCACCAUAAGUAUUUAAUAGCACCACGUCCUGGGGUAUUCUAGUGCUAGCAGUUACCUAAUAGAUUUCUUUAUGAAUAUGGUGUGUUUCUUUUGGUCUGUGCCUUACGGAACGCUUCCACUCAUUAUUUGCUUUUCUUUGAGCUUGGGGGUGGCAACACGUGGGGCUGCACCACCACAAUAGGCAGGAUUCUUUUAGGGCCUGUCUAGAGCCGAGGGGAAUUUCUACAGUAAUUAAAAUCACUCUCAAAUCAAAAGCCUGGGAUAGAAAAUGUUUCCAAAGCAAGCUCAUCUGUCCCUCACUUGUGUCCUUCCCACACCGUUCCGACGGGAAGUCUCACCACAUGCUGUUUGCCUCAGUGCUUAUAAAUACACCCGCUCCGUGUCGCAAACGCUGCACCCUCAUCGCAGCUCAGACGGAUUCGUGCAUCAACAAGAGAGGAGCGCGUUAGUAAUCACCCGACUAUUUGUUACGCGUGUGUGGCAGAGUGCAGGUACGCAGACUAGGGCAUCCUGCAUUCAGGUCGAGUACAAACAGCAUUAGUCAUGCCCAAAACAGCCGUUGCGUAACUUGGCCGGAGUCCUCUGGCGCGAUCACAGCUGUGGUUUACUGCGCUGCAGUGACUCCCAAGCCUCUUCCCGAGUUGCUGGUCCCUGGCACCUCAGCUUCCUGUCGUUAAUAUUUUCCCAGUUGCUUUAUUAUUCCUUAAGGCUGUUAUACGGGCUGUGAUCAAUACCUCUUCCCGCUUCUCCCGGCUUUUCCCCUUAAGGACUCGUCUCUCUGGUGAGAAAUGCCCACUCUCAAGCGUAGCUUUCGUUCCCCAGGAGCUCCAUUUCCACAGCACGCUGCGGCCACACGCAGAUCUUGCAGCUCCGUGACUCAUCUCUUUCUGGAUCCCCUGCAUCCACGCAGCAGCCUGCUGGGGGAUGAUAGUAAAUCUCCUAGUGAAAGCAAGAUUUUAUGGUUGUGCUUAUUCAUCUUUCUCCAGAGCAGAGCUCUAUUAUCUAAGUGCCAACAGCAGCGGCGGCACCGCGUAGCAAAGAAGAACGUACUGACUGGCGUGGUAAUCUUUGCUAAUGAGCAACAGAGGUAUUCAGAAGCAGUGAUGCUUUAAGGAAGAAGCUGGAUUGUAACAGGUUUUUUCCAUGCUGCUUGUUAAAAAAAUAAAAGCCUUUAAAGGAUUUUAGGGGUAGAAAACGUUAGAUAAAUGCACGCUCAACACUGUCCCGCAGAGUGGAACCGGUCCCAUUCUGCUGUGGCCAAACUCGUCAGACCUUGCAGGGUUACCUGCCUCUCCCCACACCUCCUGGCAGGGCAGGGCGCAGGUUGUCAGGAACCUCUCUGGUCCGUGGAAAGCUCAAGAGGGUGGAUAACAAGUGCUGAACAUGUACCGGGAGAGUAUCUCGGAGGAUAUCGCUCUGAGAGAGAGCUUGCUGAGGUUAUAGAGGUGGGUCACAGGUGAGGCUGAUGGUGAGAUUUUCGUUUCAUGCAUGUAUAUGCAUAUUUCACACUUCCACAGGCUCACUUAAUUCCACCUUUCUACCUUCCUAUUGCCAUCUCUUGUUACUACUAAGUCCCCAGUUUCUUGGCGUAGCCCCUCUGUGCGUGCAUGUUGCUCCAAGCAAAAACCUGUGUGAAACAAAGCCCUCGGAAAAACUGCCUCAGACUUCUGCGUUGCACCACUAGCUUACCCAAACCGCUUUUAACAUUACGUAGAUGUGAUUAACCUGACGCACCUUAUCCCUCUGAAAAGCCCCGUUCCGACAACUUUUGCCAGUAAUAUUCAAACGCCCGUCACUUCCACCCGGUUGGUAUGGUGGAAACCUCUCGGCACUUAACAAUAAGCCAUUUUCCAGCUUUUUGCCUCUUUCUGGCUCAGCCAGGGCUGCGCUAGUGCUUGUGCUGAGGGCACUUUCAUACCCUGACUACUGGCAGCCUGUUCCUCCCCUGCAAAAUGGUCCGUCACAUCCUAUCGCUGUAGGUGAGAGUGAAUCCAAGCCAGCAGAGUUCACCCCUGUUUAAUCUGUCUACAAAAUUAAAUGGGUUUCCCCAAAGUCAGCUUGUAACGCCAAGUAAAUGUGUCUCUCUCUUACUUUAUUUAUCGUUACACCGAGGAGUCAGAUUCUGACUUCUGCUUUAACGUGGGCUGAAAUCACGGUUGCAGUUUUUCACAGCCAGACGGAAAUGUACGGUCGCAAAUCAGAAAGAGAAAGUUUAGAGCGGAAUGGUGCAGGUGUGCUGGCUUGUGCCUGGGUUGCACCUUUCCUUUGCCGUAAAUGUGGAUGGGAACGCAGGUGUCUGUCUCCAUUUGGAUUUAAACACUAGAGCAAGGUAAGCUUUUUCAGCUUUUUUUUAAAAUAUCUUCUAUGCACAUUUCUGCGUACGUCCUGCUCACCUUGGGCCUUUGAUAUGCAGCUAAGUGGUAAAUGAGGAUAACAAUGGUUUCAGAAGUGAAAACCGAGGUUUUGUUUAACUGACCCAAAAUUAAGUGUUAUUCAGAAGGAACUUAGGAACUGGUGCCUUGUACUGAGCAGCCGUAAGCCAAUACGGAUGUUGAAAAGUCAAGGUUUAAUUUAAGAUGAUCUCUAAAUACAGCAACCUCAAAAGGAAAGUUUGGUAUCGUAGCUCAUUCUAAAAAAAAUAUGAGGUGCAAAAUAAUUAGCAAUAGUAACAGUCCCGGGCUUUGCUUGAGAGCAGAAGUCGUGUGUGCAAAUCAACACCCUGCCUUGCGGGAGGAGUCUCCAAAGUUCCCCUCCUCCGUACGGGUUUUUCCCUUGACAACAGCUGUUAAGUAAUGAUUAAAUAGCUGUUAGAUGUUACACAAGAUCUGCUCUAGGUUUUUUGCUAUUUUUAAAAAUUUAAUAUUUAAUUUCCCUGCUGCAUCGUACCAACCUUUCCUCUAGAUGGUGCCCCAUACCCAAGAGCCGGGCGUAACGCUAUCCCACAUGAAAGGCGAUUGAGAAAUAGUCAGGACGCCACUCUCCUUUGUUUCUAAACUCUAUCUUACAAUAGUUCACCUAAGUUGAUAGAUUACUUGUUCUGCCUGAUGUAAAUAUGGUGUUUCUUCCUCCUGAGAAUCCUAAAACCCAUUGGCUAGCGCCUGAAAUGCCACCUGCCUGGAACUACCAUCUGUUACGCCGCGGACCGAUCCAUAUCUCAUAUUUCUUACGGCAGCCAUUAACUGGUGCUAGCUGUCGAUCGCCUGGACGGUAUGUACAUGACCACCGCAAUCGUGGGAACUUAUUGCUUGCCUGGUUUUCAAAGAAAUGAAUUCUCUCUGAAUAUUAUACAAAUGUUUAUCCAUGUCUCUGUUUUACACAGAAAUGCAAAAUUCCAAAUAUGGAUGAAAUGCAUAUGAAAAGGGGCAUCGGCAGGCUGCGUGCCUGCAUGCUCACAGCUCUGUAAGCGGAGGGACCAGGUAAAUAACGUCCGUAUUUCGGUGUACGUAUAUGCAGCGUCACUGAAUUUCAACAUUGUACCCGGACGUGCUCGUAACCCCGCAAGUGUUAGAAGUGGGAGAAUUACUAUGAGCUGUAAGCGGCCGGGUAGUUUUGUUAUUGUCGGGAUUGCAGUUGCGGUCGGCUGCGUCCCUGUGGAAGGGCCCGAUGCUGAUCCCGCGUCCGCAGGAGCCCCCCAGCUGGGACGGAGCCCCCUGGCCCCAGCCUCUCCCAGCUGCCCAGCGCAGCCCAUCGGGCGCGGGGUGGCCGCAGCUGCUGCCCGUCUGGGGCGCCGCGACGCGCAAAGGGGCUCUCGCCCCAGAAAUGCCGCCUGAUGUUGCCUGCUGGGGCUAAUCCAGCAACUUCAAGCCUUGCUAAUUUUUUUUUUAAUAACCCUUUGAUGUUUGGUUUGUGAUUUUGGGGGGUUUUAGGGCCCAAUCCUGCGGUUUUGACUUCUGGAAGCGCCGGGGAGCCUUACAGCCUGGGCACACGGUGUCCAGCUGCGACUGGGAAGUCAUCACCUCUCUCCCCGCAGACCUGGACAUGCAAAUUUUGCUGGGCCCCCUCAGCUAAAUAUCAGAGUUGGGCUCCUGGUCUGUAAUUCCCCGCUCCUCAUCCUGGAAGAUGGGUGCUGCGGGUGUCCGCUCGAGCCCCCGUCACCUUCGGGUUAUGGCGGAUGAUCGCCCGUAGCGACGCCCGUGUCCGGGCAGCGAUGCUCCUCGUCCCGCCAGUCCCAGUCGGAGGCGGUGCGUCUCCCGAUGCACAUCUCCCCUUCAGAAGUUUCUACUCCGGCUGAGAUUUUCGUCUCCCUCGCGGGACAUCUCCUGGGAAGCCCUGCACUCCUCCUGGAAAGGAGCCAGCACCUAUUUCCCUGUAUCUCUGCUGUCCUUGGGGUCAUCCGUGCGUCUGCAGCGCUUGCCCGCUGUGCUGCCGUCGGGCAGCUCGCUCGGCCCCUGCUGACACCGGCUGUGCCCCUUUCGGGUGUGAGCGAGCAGCUCCUGAGGGUUUCUUCCGCCAGGGGAAGGGAGCGGGACAGACGCUGCAGGGGCUGCCUGAGGUCCUGCACCCAAAGUCCGACAUCCCUCCGUAAGCGUCUCUUUCCAAGCCGACGCUUUCUCCGCAAGCAUUUCUGCCUGUCUUUCCUGGCCCUGCCUUUCUUCUGCAGCUUCCCUGAGAGGCAGCGGGGCUCUCCCGGCGCACUCAGCCCCGUUCCAGCCAAGCCCGGCCUUGGUGCAAGCCGGUCCCGUAAAGAAACCUGGUUGCUGUCCUGUGCCUUUCCUAAAGGAAAGGUGGGUGGCAGAAGCACCAUGUUCAACAAAAAUUUAAUACCAUUGUUAGGAAUUUAGAGGGGAGCUGCCUCUGGUCUCUACACCCAGAAGGGGGAUGGCUAAGCUAAUUGCUCUCCAGGCUCUGCUGAUGCAACGGCAAACCAGGAAAGCCAGGAACAAGCUGCGGGUCCUCCCUGGCCGGCAGCAUCCCUGGCUGCCCCCACGGAAGGUUUCUUCUCUUUAACAGACGUUUCUGUGGCAGAGGCUGCCCGUGUUCGUCGGGGAGCACACCUGGUCUGCCUCCGAGGGCAAGGCUGGCAGCUGAGCUCUGCCUCCGUUCCUGGGUCUUCCCCUUAUUUGUCUGGAUUUAAAAAAAAACCCCAAUCUCGCGCACAUUACAAUUACAGGGCAGGUUUUUCAAUGUAAGGAGGGAAAAGAAAUCGCCGACUUAAACUUCCAACGCAUUUUAUACGCAUUUCUUAAUAGCGUGAUGUGAGCACCAUUUUCAUGUUUAGCAUUAGCCUUAAAUUGCACUUGAAAUUUGGAGUUAAAUCCCCUUUGUAUAGUAAAUAGGCUUAGUGCGGUGGUGCCAAUCAGCCUGCCUGCCCCCCUCCCUUUCUGGGGGGGGGUAUUUUUCAGGAAAAGAAAGAGCCCACUCAUCUGACAUAAUGUACUAAGAUUCCCUGCUCCAGUAACUGAAAUAAAUCGGGCUAUUAAAAUCAUCAUUAGGAGCAGAUGUAGGCUGCUUUGGGGACAGCGAGGAGCUGCCGCUGGCUCCCCCCAUCUGCUGCUCCGCGCUCAGCCCCGGUCCUGGGCGCCGCUGCCCGUCAGCUCUGGCUUUAUUCCCUUUUCAUGAAGAAUCAGAAGCACCGUACAAGACAGAAGUUAAUAUGCAUUUGCUGGGGAGUGGGAAAACCCUAUAACUGCUGAUAACUAAAAGUUAUUCUGACAGAUGUGAGAUCCAGAGUAUCAAUAUCUGAAGCUCAAGGCAACAAGCAGGGACUAAUUAUCACUAAUAAUUUUCAUGGACAUAGUGUUAAUCUCUUUCAAACAGUCCCAACACCGUUUCCAUGUUUGUUCCCUCCAGCCAGGUUGGUUUUGCCAUUGUUUCUGCAUUAAAUAGGAGCAACGGGUGGAAAUUCAGUGGUUUAUCUGGGAAUACCAAACUCUCCCAGGCUCUUUUCAUCCCGUAAGCAUCCCAGCCGGGUUGGGACCAUGGAGAUUUAGUCACAGCACUGCUGGUGAAAUGUUCCCAUUUUUUCAUAGUCCUGGCUGAUUUUUAAAUGGGAGCGAAUAACUUUGACCAUCUCUAUGUCAGGGAAACCUUGAUGGGAAUCGCGCUGUGGUGCGGGCAAGGCUGGGCACUGGGACGAGCUGGAGCCGCGCCGGGAGCUCCUAGGUGGGUCAGACCCUGGCAGCGAACAGGGGUUGUCCUGUCGGGCUCCUCUCCUGCUUGUCAAAGGCAAAGAGUAUUUAUGGGGUAAAAUAUAAAGCCACGGGAAAGCACCACAGCCCUGUUUCUGCCCUGCAUCAAGCCUGGACUAAUCCAGUACAAAAAAGGAAUAAAAGCUGUCCGGCGUUUCAGCUAGGAAGCAGAGGUCUGGUGACAUUUGAUUUUGAGAUCAUCCGGAUGGUACGCUGCAAGAGGUAGAUGUUAUUCUGGAACCCACACUUAUCCCCAGGGACUUUGCUAAUGAUUCAGAUGGAGGGAUGUGCCUGGUGCUCCAGCGGGUGAUGGGAGAUCCAGAGCCGCAGCUAUUUUAAGCCAAGCAAAAAGGCAGCUGGCGUUAUGCAAAACCCAGCCGUUCUGUGUGCGUUGGGUACGGAGCAUCUGACUGUAAAUGCAUAAAUAAGUGCUGAAGGCUCCGUAGAGGCACAAUUUUUCCCAUUUGUGUGGCAAACUUCAGCCCGUUCAUAAAAACCGAAGAAACCCCAGCACACCCCGGCAGGAAUCGCUGGCGGAGGCAGCUGCGUUAAGCGGGUCUGGACUCGGAGGUUUUGCAUUGAUGAGCCACCGCCAAAAUAAGUACAUUUAAGAUAAUAAAGCGCUUCCUU